Columba livia (rock pigeon) is the source of this 7382-nucleotide RNA transcript. It is a transcript of the gene named lunapark, ER junction formation factor, with no coding region annotated. NCBI's taxonomy places the organism in Eukaryota, Metazoa, Chordata, Aves, Columbiformes, Columbidae. The record is from RefSeq and is a predicted model, not a curated record. The transcript is spliced from 14 exons.
UCCCCGUUCCAGCGCGCCCUGCGGCAGCAAGGCGCUCAUUGGCUGUCGGGGCGGCGCGGGGCCUGAUGGGAGCGCAGCCACGGCGCCUCGGCCCCUCCUUCGGCGGGCGGCGGCGGGAUGCGCGGCCGGGCCCGCGGCAGCUGUGAAUUCCUGUAGAAGACUGAUAGCUCUGCCAACAUUUGUCCACAAUAGAAGAUGGGUGGAUUAAUUUCAAGAUGGAGGCAGGCAAAACCUUCCACCAUAGAAGUAUUAGAAAAACUUGAUAAGGAAAUACAGGCAUUAGAAGAAUUCAGAGAAAAAAAUCAGAGACUGCAGAAACUAUGGGUUGGAAGGCUCCUUCUCUACUCUUCACUUCUUUACCUUAUCACCUGCUUAAUUGUAUAUUUGUGGUAUCUUCCUGAUGAAUGGACUGCAAGGUUGAUUAUGACACUUCCAUUUUUUGCAUUUCCAUUGAUAAUCUGGUGUAUAAGAACACUGCUCAUUUUUUUCUUUUCCAAAAGGACAAAAAGGAAUAAUGAUGAACUGGAAGAUUUGAAGUCUCAAAAGAAAAAAAUACUUGAGGAAGUAAUGGAGAAGGAAACGUACAAGACUGCGAAAUUAAUCCUGGAAAGGUUUGAUCCUGAAUCAAGUGCAAAAGAGGCUGAACUACCAUCUGCUGGAACAUCUGCAACCUCAAGACCUGGACAAGAAAUUCGUCAGAGGACCACAGCUCAAAGAAAUGCUUCUCCGCCCCCGCCUGUGACUCCUAAGCAAGACUCUGCAAAAUCUGUGGUUCCAGCAUCUCCCAAUCUGCAGAGAGACACCUCAGCUCUGAGUGGACCCCCAGAAAGAAUUGUUGUACCAUCCUUGCAGUCAAAUGUUUUACCAAGACACCCUGGAUCCCCUGCUACUUCAGUGCCUGGAAUGGGUCUUCAUCCUCCAGGCCCUCCUUUAGCAAGACCUAUUCUUCCUCGAGAAAGAGGAAUUGUGGAUAGAGUUAUUGAAUAUUUGGUUGGUGAUGGUCCUCAGAACAGGUAUGCCCUUAUAUGUCAGCAAUGUUUUUCUCACAAUGGCAUGGCUUUGAAGGAGGAGUUUGAAUACAUAGCAUUUAGAUGUGCCUACUGCUUUUUCCUGAAUCCUGCAAGAAAAACUAGACCUCAGGCUCCACGACUUCCAGACUUCAGCUUUGAAAAAAAGCAAUUUGCAGAACUGCGACCUGAAACGGAUCCUCCAGAACCUAAAGAGAAAAAUCCCCAGGAAACUCAACAGACAGAAGAAUCUGAAGAAGACACGGCCCAGGUCAUUGAGACAAGUGAGACAGAUGAUAAAGCACAAAGUCAUGAGCAGCUAAAUGAUAAGGUAGCUGAAGAAGUUGAAGAAGCAGAAAACCUUUCAACAACCGAAGACUCUAUUUCAGAGUCUAUCUCAGCUGAACAAAGUGAAGAAUCUUCAGUGAAAACAGAAUAAAGUACUUCAAGUGCCUUCUGUAGCUAGUUUUCAGCUUUGUUCAUGCCUGUUGUUACUAUUCAGAGAUGCUGGAUUUGUAGAAAACUCAAGGAACAAAGACCUUCCAGCUCUCCUGAAAUGGUCUGCCCUCUAAUUCCUUGCAUCGCUUCAAGGAGCUCUACUCAGUUGAUGAAACUUGAUUUUGACUUGUUCAGCACACAAAGAAAACCAUUUUACAAAAAAAAAACCAUGAAAAUUCAUUUUAAGAAAAGUAUUUUAAAUGAUGUUUUAGAAGAAAUAUGAAAGUUGAUAAUUCUUGAGGAAUGUUUGAACUUGUAUAUUUUGUAUAUUGAGCUUCUAUUUAAACAGGAGAUCCCAUAUAUUUAUAGUUUAAGUUCUUACUGUUGUAAUAAUUGCCUUGUUGUUGCAUUAGUAAAAGGCAUGUGUGUUUAUGUACUGUAAGCAGUAUGUUCAAUCAGAGGUAUCAUUUUAAUCCUAGCUGUGGCAUUGACCAGUAGUUAUAUCACCUGCAAUUGGAAGUCCAUUAAAAUCAAUGCAAAGACAUUAAUUAGUAUGAAUUUUUAGGGUCUAGUAGACUUCAUGAAAUGUCUGUCUUAGAUUUUCUGCUUGUAAUGGAGAAAAUAUUUAAACUUGUGCUUCUCUUUUCAAAUACAGUGUUUUACCAAAUGGAACAAAUGUUAAAGAGUAUGAAAUUAUAUAGGUUGUUGUUUGAAUAUAUGCUGCUUUUGCUGUGUAUGUAACUUCUUGAGGAAAAACCCGAUUCUGAAAAAGCUAUUGAAUAUUCAUCUGAUCUGAAUUAUGAUGAUGGCUGGGGUAAGAGUCAGGCUGCUCUUUACAUAGCAGUGAUUUACAGUUUUAAAGUGAUAAUUUGAUUAGUAGUUCAUUCUGUGCUGGCUGUACUCAGUCAAGUUGGAUUGCAUAGGUUUGUUUGUUUGUUUUAAAAGGAGCACAUAUGUUACUAAAACAAAGCUGAGGGUGCCCCAGCUUCUUCAGUGCAGCCCCUGCUCCCCAGCUGGCUGGCAUAUGUAGGAAAAGAACGUUGUUCAAGGUUGAGUAGGUUCUGAUAAGACCCAUUUAUCUGUGCUACAGCCAGUUGUGAGAGCUGCUGGCGCGAGCAGCCAGCUGCCCACCCGCAAAGGGCAGCCUGGCAUGCGGCUGCAGAGCUCUGUGCGCAGUGAAGUGGAGGCGUGGAAAACCCGCCUUGGCUCAGUAUAAAAAAUCGUGUGGCAACUUCAGAGGGGACUGGGGAGUUCUGAAGAUGCCAAUUUUUGACCUGCCAUUCUGCAGACAUGUACAUUUCAGGGUGGGUAUUGCAGGUUUUAUUGUAUCUAAAUGGUGAUUUAUGUCCUUAUUCCUGCAUUAUUGUCCACAAGGUACUGCCCUAUGUCACAAGCCUGUACUACCUAAUUUUUUCAGACUGUUUCAUUUUCAUUAGUACAGCUGCUUUAGCUUGUGAUCAGUGUACUGCACCUCAUUGAUAAUCUAAGAGACUAUCAGACGCACGCAAGUGACACCUAACCCUGUCAGUCUGGCUUGAUUGACCCCUCAGCUUCCGAAACAUGGGUUCAUUUUUUUUUAAAACCCGAGCUAGCCCGACAUCCAUUUUCACACAUAUUCUGGGCAGUUUAAAGGUUGGUCAGAAUUGAAUAUUGCUCUUUCAAAUUUGAUAAUGUAUGAGUACAGAACUGUGACCUUUGAUACGUAGUAAUACAUCAACAUGACAUGAGCAGUAAGUGCAGCAAUUACCUUUACUACACUCGAGAUUGUGUUUUAGUUCUCAUCUUGUAAGCAAUUAUUUCAGGAAAAAAAGGAUGCCUAUAAGUUAAAUAUACUUUGAAAAUAGUGUAAAUGCAGAAAUUAAUCUUUGGGGAUUUUUUGAUUUACAGGUGAAUAUUUUUCAGAUGAAUCGUGGUUUUUAAAUUAACAUUGCUUCGGUGCUAGAAAAGUGGCUUUUUUUACAGUACUUUUUUCUGGGAGAGUUUCUUUAACCCUUUUUGUUGUGUUCUAAUGUAAUCUAAGUUUCAUAUUCUGAUUUAUAGCUAAAGUCUGAUCCUUCAAGCAGUUGAUGUGUCACUGUGUUCGUGUUGCUCCCAUGGUAAUACUUGUAAGAGUUGAUUACAUGCAUGAUAAUAAUGUAAGUUUACCUCCUUUUAAGUGCCUUUCAGAAUGUACGAGAGUAUCUCAGACCUGCACCAUGUGUUGAUUUAAAAGGCUGUUUUAGCUGCUUCAGCAAUGUUUCAUCUUUUCCUGAGCAGAUCAAGAUACCUUUGGUUUAGUUUCCAAGCCUUUUUCCUCACCUGUUAUAAAUUAUUUGGGUAAUGAUAGUGCACAACCACUACCUGGUAGGUGCUAUAAAAACACAAAUCAAUACUCCUUGCCAAAGAGCAUAAAGCCUCAAGAGGAGUGAUAGCAGCUGUGGCUUCUCUUCUGUGGACUAAAAAUCAGAAUAAAAUUACUGUGUCAUUCUGAGCAAGCAACUGAGUAACCAUUGAAUGGUGACUUUCUAUCAGUGCUGUAUGUCACAGCCAAAACUCAAACGAAUAACUUGAAUUAGAACUUCUAAAAUGUCCACUUCCUUGGCUGCUGAGUGCGGAGUGGUGUUGGUUUGCUGGAGUUAGGCACUGAACUUUAACUCAGGAGCUGGGAAAAUGCUUAAUUUGUUUUAUGUUGAGGUGAAAUCAACACCUUUUGGAAUGCUUUUCUGUAAGCUGUUAAAAAUUUGAACGCCUAGUGCCCGAUAAUGUUGGGCUGUACUGGGACGCUAGUGCGGGAGGCAGAUGUGGGCUGGGAACUAAAUGGAGCGCAUCUCUUCCAAAUCUGCCAUGGGAAGAGAGGUGAGUGUGUUCUGUACAGUAGCUUUCUCUUUCUGACUUGUUGCUCUGAAGAUCGCUCCUUUGCAGUACAUACACAGUAGCUGUAGAUUGCUAAUAAGCCUGGGAACUUUUGUGAUGAAAGUUUCAUCAAAAUGAGUCUCUCAGACAGAUUUUCUCACUACUUUUCUAGCAACAGUUAGAACAUUCUUGACUCUCUGUGGUGUCAUUUGUUCUCUGGGUGGAAAAGCAAAGCAAGUAUGUUAAAUCAUCACAUAAAUUACUCUUAAUCAAGCUCUUGGCAAUACAAACUAUUAUGCAAAGCCACAAGGCUUUAGGGGCAUGGUUUAGUGCUGGAGUUAGGUUAUGAUUGGACUUGAUGAUCCUGAGGGUCUCUUCCAACCAAAAUGAUUCUAUGAAAUGGUUCUAAAAAGGCACUGCCUGAGGAUAUUGUGCAAGCAUGGUUUUGUGCUGUUCCAUGUUGCUUUCAGUGUGCGCCAUGUAAGGGCACUUGGGCUCUUAACUACUUAAAAACAAAACAAAACAAAAACACCCUCAAGCUUUUUUUCAUGUUUUCCUUAAAUUUUAGAUGUUAAUAGUAUUAACUUAGUUUGGACAAAAUACCCGACUUACUUUUGUGUAGCGUUUUCCAUUAAAAAGUGUAAAUAGCAUGUGUAUGGAAAUCUUGAGUCGUGCUGCUGACUUAGUAGAUGAAGGUGGUUACAACAGCUCAAUGUGGAAGUUUGUUUUUCAACUGGGGCUCUGUGGUUGUGGGAAGUUCCUUGUGGUGCAAGAUGCCCUUGUGCAGGUAGGUGACUCCAUGGGUAAAGUGCAUUUGUUACUGUGCUACAAGUAGCAACAGCAAAACAAGGGCAAAUGCUGCGGUGUUGCAUGUCAGUAUUUGUUGAUUGGCAUUUGCUCAUGCUGCAUUUAUUACUCCUGGUAACGACUUAGGCAUCUUUAGUUCUUCUCUGUGUUGUGUAUUACUAACCAAUUUUUUAAAGAACUGACAACACUGGUAUUCCCCAACAGUAGAAUCCCUCUUACAGCAUCUGGAAAAUAUUUCCUAUCUCUUGUGUUUCAGAGAAGGGAGUAAAGGUAAUAUUUUUUUUCCACCAUUCCUACUACAGCAAUAUGACUAGAAGUAUUUCUUUUUCCAAAAUGCAAGGAUUUUUGUUAGUUUCAGCUGUUUGGCUACACCUGUGUGUUGCUGGGGCUUUUUUAAAGAAAUGGUGAAUGGCAGCUGGGUUGCAGAAUGUAUUUUCAUUUUGAGGCUUAUCUUAAAACUUUCUGGUUUGCAAUGGUGUGAUCCUCCUGGAAAGAGUUUGUUAGAUUAUUGAACAAAUGGUGGGAAGCUGAAAUUUAGGGACACUUAAUGGAAAGUGCUGGAUUGUAUGCAACUUAUUGUGAAUACUCCUGAUAUAUUAUAAGGCGUUAUGUUCAUCUAGUCGUGAUCUAUUUGAUUUUAAAAUCUCAGAUUGUGUUAUGAGUAAGUGUAAUGGUUCUGAGAGCUGGAAUGUUGUUAGCCAUUGUGAACAGUACUGAAGGUAUCUCAGGAUGUAUAAUGUGAUAGAUGCAAUUUGGUUUGAUUUUUUUUUUCCAAGGCCAAUUUAAUUUUGAUUUAUUUGCCUCAUUAACCCAAGGAUUCAGAAAAUUGAAUGCCACCUGAGUGAGGUAUUAUUAACACUAGUGAAAUAUCUUCAGAAUCGCUCUGUGCUUAUAAAUUGAUCUUUUGAAAGCAUUUUAAAGGCAUAAUGAUACUAUGGUGAAAAUGUACAGCACCAUUUAAAAAUUGCAAAAUGCUUAUUUGAUUUCUGAAAAUAAGACUUGGUCACCUGACUGAAAUGUAUACUGAUCUAUUAUUUAUGCUUUGAAAAUAGAGCUGAUAAAAAGCAUAAGUGUUCUUGAUAUUAUAUUUUGUCAUAUCUAGCUAAAAAGAUUGAAAUCCGGAGAAACAAUUUUCUGCAGAAAUGAAGUAGUAUGCCCUCCUGAACCCCUGGGGAAAAUAGCCUCUCUGUUUGCUCAGAAUAUGAAGCAGUAAAACAGUAUAAGUAAAACAGACAGCCCAUGUCACAUUCCUAUUUGUACAGUCUGGAAUGAUGUUUUAAAAACAUUUUCUAGUUAUUUUUGAUAAAUAAAUGGUGCAAAUAACAUCUGCAAACCAACCCUGCUGAUGUAAGAUUUUUCAGAUCAGAUUUGUUUGUCAGUGAAAGUCAGAAAAUUGCUUUGCAAAACUAAAGUUGUAUAACUCCCAAAAAUAUGCAUAAGAAAUGUACAAGAAUAUAUCUUGCUCUUCUUUUGUCUUCCCUCAAAGAAACUAAUGCUGAUCUCGCUUAUCUUUGCUGCUGGGCUCAGAGUGUAGCUUGAUAAAAUUAUCAAAAAGCUCAGUUGCUAAAAACAGAUGUGUUAUAAGGUGUUAAAUAGCUCAAGUGGUGCAUCCAGCUACCCUACCCUACCCUUUUGGAACAGUGGAUCUUUCUUAAGGCCUUGAGAUUUCUGCCUGAGCUAUUAGUGCCACACAAAACUAAACAUGGGGGUUGUAGGAGCCUUCCACGAGUGACACCCCUGUGGUUGAGGGGUGCAAAGGCAGUGGGUGCGUUGCCUGGCUGCAGCUGUCUGCAGGUUCUGCCAAAGGCCGGUGCACUGAGGAUGAAGGGACGUUCCUCCAACUCUUGUGGCCUCCAGAAGCGCACUAUUCAGUGUAAGAAUGCUGGCUCCACUCUGAUUUCCUUCACUGAUAUAAAAGCUGAAGUGGAAGAACUGUCCCUGGGCAGCAGGGUUGAGAAGUCUGAGGUCACAGCUCCACGAAUGCCCUGUUGCCCAGGACUGGCCUAAGAAGCGUGUGUGUGUGUACAUCUCCCAAAACAUGGCUUGUCAAGGGAGUGGGCUUUCAGCUGCAUUUGAGGAGUGUAUGUCUUCAAGGCUCUCUUGUUUUUCUUUGGACUUCUGUGCUCCACAGAGUUGGUUAAAACCAACUUUAAUGCUAUUUUUGUAAGGAUUCUCAGUCAAUGGAUCCCAUCUCAGGCUAAAUUCUGUGGUAUAUCCACAGAGUACGAGAUGAACACAUUUUGUAAAUAUGUAUGUGUUUAACAGCACCAAAAAAAAUAAAAUUGGUUUUAUUUUUCA